GUCUAUGGCCACACCACUCUGAACACACCCGAUCUCAUCUGAUCUCAGAAGAAAAUAUGAAUAAUAGCUUUUCUAUUGAUA
Molecule: ribosomal RNA, 81 nt
Filed under: Carlito syrichta (Philippine tarsier)
Lineage: Eukaryota; Metazoa; Chordata; Mammalia; Primates; Tarsiidae
Source: RNAcentral